RNAcentral lists this ribosomal RNA (253 nucleotides) under uncultured bacterium. RNAcentral describes it as "partial 16S ribosomal RNA". It matches the Rfam family "Bacterial small subunit ribosomal RNA", at positions 524 to 776 of the family's 1533-position model. The record is from RNAcentral.
UACGUAGGGGGCAAGCGUUGUCCGGAAUCAUUGGGCGUAAAGCGCGCGUAGGCGGCUCGAUCAGUCUGCUGUGAAAGUCAAAGGCUCAACCUUUGAAUGCCGGUGGAUACUGUCGAGCUAGAGUCCGGAAGAGGCGAGUGGAAUUCCUGGUGUAGCGGUGGAAUGCGCAGAUAUCAGGAGGAACACCAACGGCGAAGGCAGCUCGCUGGGACGGUACUGACGCUAAGGCGCGAAAGCGUGGGGAGCGAGCAGG